CGAUCGGUGAUGGAAUGGCAGACAUGACCGCCUCAAAAGCGGUGGCCGUCAGCGGCGUGAGGGUUCGACUCCCUCCCGAUCGACCA
Molecule: transfer RNA, 86 nt
Filed under: Myxococcales bacterium
Lineage: Bacteria; Pseudomonadati; Myxococcota; Myxococcia; Myxococcales
Description: tRNA-Leu
Rfam family: tRNA
About the family: Transfer RNA (tRNA) molecules are approximately 80 nucleotides in length. Their secondary structure includes four short double-helical elements and three loops (D, anti-codon, and T loops).
Source: RNAcentral